GGAUGCUCUGAUUGGCCGGUGCAGGCCGGUGGGCGGGUUCUUGGGGCGGUUGCCCGUUCGGCGCGGAGGCGGGAAGGGCGGACGCUGAGUCCUGUCAGCGGGCGAAUUAGCCGAUCGUCGCCCAAAGUUCAUCACCCUUUCGGAUUCUUUUUCAGAAGUAAUGGCGAAUUAUAUUUAUCAUGCACUGUUAUAACUGAUUACGAUCGAUUUGACUGGAUGGUGAAUGGCAUCGCAACGGAAGUAACGGUUUUGUCAAGCGAUGAGUGGCUGGGAGUCCUGUCAAUAACGAACGUCUCCUGUUUGCUGAUUGCUCUGGAGAUCUUUGCACACAAAAUGCUGGAGUAACUCAGCGGGGCAGGCAGCAUCUUUGGAGAGCAGGAAUGGUUGACGUUUCGGGUCGAGACCCUUCUUCAGGCUGACAGUCAGAGGAGAGGGAGACGGAGAGAUAUGUGGAUGGGUGUCCCUCAGGAUCAAGGAUGACCUGCUUCUACUCUUCUUCUGUGAGUUCUGAUGUGGCCAAUUUUGGACCUGAAGACUCUGUCACAAGUGGACUCGAUAAGAAGAAGAAACCCUAAAUGAGAAGUAUUCAAUGCGACAUUCCAACAUCUGAAGAAGUUCAGAAAAACCUCUGAAGGUCUGAAGACCCAAAACGUCACCCAUUCCUUCUCUCCAGAGAUGCUGCCUGUUCUCCUGAGUUACUCCUGCGUUUUGUGUCUAUCUUUGGUUUAAACCAGCAUCUGCAGUUUCUUCUUACACAUUCCAACAUGUUUCAUGAUCGAUGCAUAUUUCUUCCAACCUCAUCCAUUGGAUUUGUUGCUCUCGAUGUGGCCUCCUCUAGUUCGGUGAGACCAAGCGUAGAUGAGGUGACCGUUUUGUGUGGGACACCUGCGUUCCGUGCGCAAUGACUAAAUUCAGCUUCUCACUGUGGGAAUAACAUUUCAACGCCCCUCCCUGCUCCCACGCUGACCUGUCCAUCCUCAGCAUUUUCCGCUGUCACGGUAAUAAGGCCAAACAAAAAGUAGAAAACACUGCAUAUUCCACUUGGGUAGCCUCCAACAUUGCAUUUUCUAAUUUUACGUAACUCACAAUCCCUGUGUUCUUUUCUCAUUCCAACAGAUCCACCUAAGUUUCAUAUCUCUCUUUGUUCUUCUUUUCCUAUCCCCAGUCCCCAUGUUACCUGGAUUUGUUACGCUCCCCCUUCUAGCUCCACCAGCCUGUCAGCUGCUGGAGCUGCUGCCUCACAGCAUCAGAAACCCAGACCUUGGGUGUUAUCUGUGUGAAGUUUGUAUGGGAACUGCUCUGCCCAGGAUAAGAAGGCUCUGCAGAGAGUAAUGCGUUCGGCCGAACGCACUCUGGGUACUUCACUCGCCCCCCUGCAGGAACUAUACAUCAGAAGGUGCAGAUCCAGGGCCAACAAGAUCAUGGGAGACCCCUUCCAUCCCAGCAACAGACUGUUCCAGCUGCUACGGUCAGGCAAACGCCUCCGUUGCCAUGCUGUGAGAACGGAGAGGAUGAGAAGGAGUUUCUUCCCAGAGGCCAUUAGGACUAUAAACUCCUAUCUCACCAGGGACUAACUUUACUGAACCAUUUUACUGUUGUGUGGUGUCUUUUUUUAAAUUGCAGUUUUUCUACCUUUUUCUUCCCUCCCACAAAUAUGUAAUAUGUGAAUAUGUGAUUCUGUUCCAUUAAGUUUGUAAUUUGUUUGUUUG
This is a long non-coding RNA of Leucoraja erinaceus (little skate), 1709 nucleotides long. RefSeq lists it as uncharacterized. NCBI's taxonomy places the organism in Eukaryota, Metazoa, Chordata, Chondrichthyes, Rajiformes, Rajidae. The record is from RefSeq and is a predicted model, not a curated record. The transcript is spliced from 3 exons.